RNAcentral lists this ribosomal RNA (119 nucleotides) under Undaria pinnatifida. RNAcentral describes it as "5.8S rRNA". It matches the Rfam family "5.8S ribosomal RNA", at positions 1 to 116 of the family's 154-position model. Rfam says of the family: 5.8S ribosomal RNA (5.8S rRNA) is a component of the large subunit of the eukaryotic ribosome. It is transcribed by RNA polymerase I as part of the 45S precursor that also contains 18S and 28S rRNA. Lineage: Eukaryota; Phaeophyceae; Laminariales; Alariaceae. The record is from RNAcentral.
UAAAACUUUCAGCGACGGAUGUCUUGGCUCCCACAACGAUGAAGAACGCAGCGAAAUGCGAUACGUCUUGCGACUUGCACAAUCCAGUGAAUCAUCAAAACUUUGAACGCAUCUUGCGC